CCUACGGGAGGCAGCAGUGGGGGAUAUUGCACAAUGGGGGAAACCCUGAUGCAGCGACGCCGCGUGUGGGAAGACGGUCCUCUGGAUUGUAAACCACUGUCCCCAGGGACGAAGAUGACGGUACCUGGGGAGGAAGCUCCGGCUAACUACGUGCCAGCAGCCGCGGUAAUACGUAGGGAGCGAGCGUUGUCCGGAAUUACUGGGUGUAAAGGGAGCGUAGGCGGGGAUGCAAGUUGGGUGUAAAAACUACCGGCUCAACUGGGAGUCGCACUCAAAACUGCAGGUCUUGAGUGAAGUAGAGGCAGGCGGAAUUCCUAGUGUAGCGGUGAAAUGCGUAGAUAUUAGGAGGAACACCAGUGGCGAAGGCAGCCUACUGGGCUUUUACUGACGCUGAGGCUCGAAAGUGUGGGGAGCGAACAGGAUUAGAUACCCGAGUAGUC
RNAcentral lists this ribosomal RNA (440 nucleotides) under uncultured bacterium. RNAcentral describes it as "partial 16S ribosomal RNA". It matches the Rfam family "Bacterial small subunit ribosomal RNA", at positions 338 to 795 of the family's 1533-position model. The record is from RNAcentral.